RNAcentral lists this ribosomal RNA (430 nucleotides) under uncultured Acidobacteriota bacterium. Its description in RNAcentral is "bacterial SSU rRNA". It matches the Rfam family "Bacterial small subunit ribosomal RNA", at positions 355 to 776 of the family's 1533-position model. The record is from RNAcentral. Lineage: Bacteria; Pseudomonadati; Acidobacteriota.
UGGGGAAUUGUUCGCAAUGGGCGCAAGCCUGACGACGCAACGCCGCGUGGAGGACGAAGAUCUUCGGGUCGUAAACUCCUGUCGAGUGGGAAGAACGCUUCGCGGGUGAAUAAUCCGCGGAAUUGACGGUACCACUAAAGGAAGCCCCGGCUAACUCCGUGCCAGCAGCCGCGGUAAUACGGGGGGGGCAAGCGUUGUUCGGAAUUACUGGGCGUAAAGGGCUCGUAGGCGGCCAACUAAGUCGGAUGUGAAAUCCCCAGGCUUAACCUGGGAACUGCAUCCGAUACUGGAUGGCUUGAAUUCGGGAGAGGGAUGCAGAAUUCCAGGUGUAGCGGUGAAAUGCGUAGAUAUCUGGAGGAAUACCGGUGGCGAAGGCGGCAUCCUGGACCGACAUUGACGCUGAGGAGCGAAAGCCAGGGGAGCAAACGGG